RNAcentral lists this ribosomal RNA (443 nucleotides) under uncultured bacterium. RNAcentral describes it as "partial 16S ribosomal RNA". It matches the Rfam family "Bacterial small subunit ribosomal RNA", at positions 338 to 795 of the family's 1533-position model. The record is from RNAcentral.
CCUACGGGAGACAGCAGUGGGGAAUAUUGGGCAAUGGGCGCAAGCCUGACCCAGCAACGCCGCGUGAAGGAAGAAGGCUUUCGGGUUGUAAACUUCUUUUCUCAGGGACGAAGCAAGUGACGGUACCUGAGGAAUAUGUCACGGCUAACUACGUGCCAGCAGCCGCGGUAAUACGUAGGUGGCAAGCGUUAUCCGGAUUUACUGGGUGUAAAGGGCGUGUAGGCGGGACUGCAAGUCAGAUGGGAAAACCACGGGCUCAACCUGUGGCCUGCAUUUGAAACUGUCGUUCUUGAGUACUGUAGAGGCAGACGGAAUUCCUAGUGUAGCGGUGAAAUGCUUAGAUAUUAGGAGGAACCCCAGUUGCGAAGGCGGUCUGCUGGACAGCAACUGACGCUGAGGCGCGAAAGCGUGGGGAGCAAACAGGAUUAGAUACCCCGGUAGUC